CUCGAGGCCAGAUCUUUCCGGUUGAUCCUGCCGGACCUGACUGCUAUCGGAUUGAUACUAAGCCAUGCGAGUCAUUGUAGUAAUACAAGGCAGACGGCUCAGUAACGCGUAGUCAACCUAACCUAUGGACGGGAAUAACCUCGGGAAACUGAGAAUAAUGCCCGAUAGAACAUUAUGCCUGGAAUGGUUUAUGUUCCAAAUGAUUUAUCGCCGUAGGAUGGGACUGCGGCCUAUCAGUUUGUUGGUGAGGUAAUGGCCCACCAAGACUAUUACAGGUACGGGCUCUGAGAGGAGUGGCCCGGAGAUGGGUACUGAGACACGGACCCAGGCCCUAUGGGGCGCAGCAGGCGAGAAAACUUUGCAAUGUGCGAAAGCACGACAAGGUUAAUCCGAGUGGUUUCUGCUAAAGGAACCUUUUGUCGGUCCUAGAAACACCGAUGAAUAAGGGGUGGGCAAGUUCUGGUGUCAGCCGCCGCGGUAAAACCAGCACCUCAAGUGGUCAGGAUGAUUAUUGGGCCUAAAGCAUCCGUAGCCGGCUCUAUAAGUUUUCGGUUAAA
Molecule: ribosomal RNA, 557 nt
Filed under: uncultured archaeon
Lineage: Archaea
Description: bacterial SSU rRNA
Rfam family: Archaeal small subunit ribosomal RNA
Source: RNAcentral